AAAAAAAUGUACAAAAAGUAUUUAACACUAAUGUUCGUGACGUAUUACACAAGGAAGUGCGUGUUUUCUUCAAUACACACCUGCAAUGGGCAAUGGAAUACACAAAUAUUUAAAUUGUGACGAAAAUGGUAAAUGUCUUGGAUAGUUAUUUGCUUUACCCUUCAUGCUAUGAAUUAUUAAUACUGCUUUCUUUUGGAAAUAUGAAUGACCAUAUACGUAAGAUUUAUUGACGAAAACAAGGAAAUUUACUAAAACAUCAAAAACAGGUGACUUUUCACUUUUUCAGAUUUCAUCAUGUUGUAAAUAAACAAGGAAUGGCAACACAUGGAGACCAACACUAUCAACCCUACCCACCCAAUUCUGUGGAAGAAACAAUCAAGGUAGGUAAAUAAUAUACAAUUUAAUUAAACUUCAUUUAGCAUACAAUGAAUGACCAAUGACAAAGUGUCAAUAUUAACAGAUGAGCCAUCCAGGUGUUUAUUUUAAACUUGUUACAUAUUUGACUGUAUUUAGAUAAAAUUAAUAUGUCAGUUAUAAAUUAAAAUGUAAACUUGCAGAAGAAUAAAACUAAAUUAAAGAUACCCAUGAUUAAGAAUGAUAAAAACUACAGGUGCAAUAUAUUAUAUAUGAUGAUAAAUUAGUAAUAUAAAAAAAUCAGAAAAGAAACUCUUAACUUGAAAGAUGUUGCCAUGUAAUGUUAAAAAAUCAAAUGAAUUCAUUUUAUGGACACAUAUUAAAAUAAUUCUGAAUUUGAGUGUAGCAUGAUGCCAUCAGUGGCACAAGGCUCUUUAGAGAAUACAUUUGUUUAUCUUAAUAUAAUAGUGGCUUUGUUUACCUAUAAGAGCAAAUAAAGAUGGAUCAGUUUUAAUGUAAUAAGCUAUAACUGUCUGGAUGUACAUAAUUUUGGUCACCUUUCAGUUUCUUCACAGUCUUGUUAAAAUUUCAUAUUGUGUCCGAAGAUUUGAAUGAUAAAUAAGGUCAGUCCCUAGUCAUCACUUUAAACAUAUCUGAAGUACCAAAACAAUUUCUACUCUGUUUUGCCCAAUGUCAGGCAACCAUGGGAAUGUCUCUAAAAUCUAGCGUUUUCAUCAAAAUGAAUAAUGCAACAUACAUUUAAUUUGAUGAUAAGGAGAUGUGGUAUCCCCAUAAGUUCAAAUGAAGUGGAUUUUUUUUUGCCUUCGACAAUGAGAAAAACCCAAGCUGUAUAGUUAUCUAUAGAAGGCCUGAUAUGAAAGAUAGGAUACAGUUCAAUUGAGAAUAACUAACAGCCUGCUUUUGAUCCUUCAGUGUUGUAGAUAGCUAGGUUGCAAAGGAAAUUUAAUACACAAAUUGAGGGGGAUAGGACCUUUAUCGGGACUCCCGGAUCAGGUGUUUUUAAGCUUGGGAUUUCUAGACUGACCCUGCCGGGGAACUGGGAAUUCUUUUUUCGAAUUUUGGGAUUUCAAUUUAUUUCAAUUCGGGACCUCAGGAUUACGUGUUUUGAAGCCCGGGAUUUCGGGAUCAGGACCCCUCCUAUCCCCCUCAUAAAAGGGCUGAAUAAAAAUAGUAUUUGGGUCAACAUUCACAAUUAAUUCUCCGUAGGCGGUAAUGGUAGCGUUUUCCUCCGUUGCUCAGUCCAUAUCGUUUACUUGAACAUGUCUGAUGAUGGCUCAAAUCGAAGCUGAUACAUUUAUACAUGUCUGGUUAAAUUUUCGGGGUGGCAAGUGAGAUUACUUUUUUCGCAAAUUGCUGGACCCCGGAAGAUGGUGAAAAAUGUCACUCUCCUCAUGAAAUAAUCCCAAAAUUCUGAUCAUAAAAUUCAAUAAAAAAAUUGUCCUUUCUAAUAAUUUAUUUCAGGUCAAAUCUACAUAUUUCUUUUCUCAUCACAUCAGCUCUAUAAAACAGUUCUUAUUGUUCAUUUAUGUCCAUUUUUAAAAUCACAGCAUCCACAAUUGUAUGGCGGACUAAUAUAUUUUUUUAAUUACGUCAUCUGAGUUCCUCAUCUCAAGGUCUAUUAGGGAUCCUGACCCAUUUGGGUGGUAUUAACAGCUUUUUAUAUGACCACUAAAAAUGUGCAUUUGUAUAAUGCUAUUGUGGUGGCAUUGUCUUUGUUGGUAGGGACAGGGUCGUCAUUUGAAUACACAUUUGAUUUCCAGACAAUAACUGUUAAGUUUAAGUGUAUGGAUCUCUUUGAAAUUAAACCAAACACGGUUCAAUACCAUGAAAGAAAGGUGGGGAUUGAUUUUGGGGGUUAUGGUACCAACAGCUUAGGAAAAAGUGGCCAAAAACACACAUCUUUUUUUUUUCCAGACAAUUAUUUGUGUGUAAGUUUAUGGAUCCCUUUGAAAUUGUACCUGAAUGUUCAAAACCACAACGGAAAAGCUGGAAUUGAGGAUUGGAGUAAAUGCUCCAAACGAUGAGCUUUAAUAGACACUGCUACAUUGAUGAAAUUGUGUCAUGAUGAUCUUACAAUUGUUUCAAAAUGGAUACUACUAGAUAAUUUGGGCAUUUGAAUUAACUCC
RNAcentral lists this long non-coding RNA (2501 nucleotides) under Mytilus galloprovincialis (Mediterranean mussel). Lineage: Eukaryota; Metazoa; Mollusca; Bivalvia; Mytilida; Mytilidae. The record is from RNAcentral.